Molecule: ribosomal RNA, 484 nt
Filed under: uncultured bacterium
Lineage: Bacteria
Description: partial 16S ribosomal RNA
Rfam family: Bacterial small subunit ribosomal RNA
Source: RNAcentral
AUUGAACGCUGGCGGCAUGCUUUACACAUGCAAGUCGAACGGCAGCGCGGGCUUAGGCCUGGCGGCGAGUGGCGAACGGGUGAGUAAUCCAUCGGAACGUGCCCAGUAGUGAGGGAUAGCUCGGCGAAAGCCGGAUUAAUACCACAUACGACCUGAUGGAGAAAGGUGGGGAUCUUCGGACCUCGAGCUAUUGGAGCGGCCGAUGGCAGAUUAGCUAGUUAGUGAUGUAAAGGCCUAUCAAUGCGGCGAUCUGUAGCUGGUCUGAGAUGACGACCAGCCAUACUGGGAUUGAGACCCGGCAGAGUUUCCUACGGGAGGGACAAUUGGGGAAUUUUGGACAAUGGGCGAAAUCCUGCUCCAGCAAUGCCGCGUGUGGGAUGAAGGGCUUCGGGUUGUAAAACACUUGUGGCGGGAACGAAAAGGACUGUGCAAAUACCACGGUGCGAUGCCGGUACCCGCAGAAUAAGCACCGGCUAACUACGUG